UACGGAGGGUGCAAGCGUUAUCCGGAAUCAUUGGGCGUAAAGCGUCCGCAGGCUGUUUAUUAAGUCAGAUAUUAAAGACCGAGGCCCAACUUCGGUUCAAUGUCUGAAACUGGUAAACUAGAGGGUUUCAGAGGCAUAUGGAAUUCUGUGUGUAGGGGUAAAAUCCGUUGAUACAUAGAGGAACACCAAAAGCGAAGGCAGUAUGCUGGGAAACUCCUGACGCUCAGGGACGAAAGCGUGGGUAGCGAACGGG
This 253-nucleotide unclassified non-coding RNA is filed under the name uncultured Candidatus Altimarinota bacterium. RNAcentral's name for it is "uncultured Candidatus Gracilibacteria bacterium contains 16S-23S intergenic spacer region". It matches the Rfam family "Bacterial small subunit ribosomal RNA", at positions 524 to 776 of the family's 1533-position model. The record is from RNAcentral. Lineage: Bacteria; Candidatus Altimarinota.